GUGGCUGUGGCUCAGUGGCAGAGUGCUUAUCUCGCGCAUGUGAGGCACUGGGUUUGAUCCUCAGUAACCACA
Molecule: transfer RNA, 72 nt
Filed under: Ictidomys tridecemlineatus (thirteen-lined ground squirrel)
Lineage: Eukaryota; Metazoa; Chordata; Mammalia; Rodentia; Sciuridae
Description: Spermophilus tridecemlineatus (thirteen-lined ground squirrel) tRNA
Rfam family: tRNA
About the family: Transfer RNA (tRNA) molecules are approximately 80 nucleotides in length. Their secondary structure includes four short double-helical elements and three loops (D, anti-codon, and T loops).
Source: Rfam by way of RNAcentral